UCUGAUGACUAUAGCAAGGAGGUCACACCUGUUCCUAUGCCGAACACAGAAGUUAAGCUCCUUAGCGUCGAUGGUAGUCGAACUUACGUUCCGCUAGAGUAGAACGUUGCCAGGA
RNAcentral lists this ribosomal RNA (115 nucleotides) under Staphylococcus aureus. The record is from RNAcentral. Lineage: Bacteria; Bacillati; Bacillota; Bacilli; Caryophanales; Staphylococcaceae.